RNAcentral lists this ribosomal RNA (269 nucleotides) under uncultured Planctomycetales bacterium. RNAcentral's name for it is "partial 16S ribosomal RNA". It matches the Rfam family "Bacterial small subunit ribosomal RNA", at positions 565 to 832 of the family's 1533-position model. Lineage: Bacteria; Pseudomonadati; Planctomycetota; Planctomycetia; Planctomycetales. The record is from RNAcentral.
GAGCACGUAGGUGGGUUUGUAAGUCAGAUGUGAAAGCCUUCUGUUCAAAGGAAGAACGGCAUCUGAAACUGCAGAUCUUGAGUGUAGGAGGGGAGAGUGGAACUUCUGGUGGAGCGGUGAAAUGCGUAGAUAUCAGAAGGAACGUCGGCGGCGAAAGCGACUCUCUGGCCUAUUACUGACACUGAGUGUGCGAAAGUUGGGGGAGCAAACGGGAUUAGAUACCCCGGUAGUCCUAACUGUAAACGAUGGGCACUAAGUAGAGGGGUUUU